Molecule: unclassified non-coding RNA, 345 nt
Filed under: soil metagenome
Description: partial contains 5.8S ribosomal RNA, internal transcribed spacer 2, and large subunit ribosomal RNA
Rfam family: 5.8S ribosomal RNA (bases 1-120)
Source: RNAcentral
GAUGAAGAACGCAGUGAAAUGCGAUAAGUAAUGCGAAUUGCAGAAUUCAGUGAGUCAUCGAAUCUUUGAACGCACAUUGCGCCCCCUGGUAUUCCGGGGGGCAUGCCUGUCCGAGCGUCAUUGCUGCCCUCAAGCACGGCUUGUGUGUUGGGCCUCCGUCCUCCUCCCGGGGGACGGGCCCGAAAGGCAGCGGCGGCACCGCGUCCGGUCCUCGAGCGUAUGGGGCUUCGUCACCCGCUCUUGUAGGCCCGGUCGGCGCUUGCCGACACAUCAAUCUUUUUUCCAGGUUGACCUCGGAUCAGGUAGGGAUACCCGCUGAACUUAAGCAUAUCAAUAAGCGGAGGA